Molecule: ribosomal RNA, 253 nt
Filed under: uncultured bacterium
Lineage: Bacteria
Description: partial 16S ribosomal RNA
Rfam family: Bacterial small subunit ribosomal RNA
Source: RNAcentral
UACAGAGGUCUCAAGCGUUGUUCGGAUUCAUUGGGCGUAAAGGGUGCGUAGGCGGCGCGGUAAGUCGGGUGUGAAAUCUUGGAGCUUAACUCCGAAACUGCAUUCGAUACUGCCGUGCUUGAGGACUGGAGAGGAGACUGGAAUUUACGGUGUAGCGGUGAAAUGCGUAGAUAUCGUAAGGAAGACCAGUGGCGAAGGCGGGUCUCUGGACAGUAACUGACGCUGAGGAGCGAAAGCGUGGGGAGCGAACAGG